Molecule: ribosomal RNA, 428 nt
Filed under: uncultured bacterium
Lineage: Bacteria
Description: bacterial SSU rRNA
Rfam family: Bacterial small subunit ribosomal RNA
Source: RNAcentral
UGGGGAAUUUUGGACAAUGGGGGCAACCCUGAUCCAGCCAUGCCGCGUGAGUGAAGAAGGCCUUCGGGUUGUAAAGCUCUUUCGGCCAGGAAGAAAUCGUAUCAGCUAAUACCUGGUGCGGAUGACGGUACCGGCAUAAGAAGCACCGGCUAACUACGUGCCAGCAGCCGCGGUAAUACGUAGGGUGCGAGCGUUAAUCGGAAUUACUGGGCGUAAAGCGUGCGCAGGCGGUUUUGUAAGACAGGCGUGAAAUCCCCGGGCUCAACCUGGGAACUGCGUUUGUGACUGCAAGGCUAGAGUACGGCAGAGGGGGGUGGAAUUCCACGUGUAGCAGUGAAAUGCGUAGAGAUGUGGAGGAACACCAAUGGCGAAGGCAGCCCCCUGGGUCGAUACUGACGCUCAUGCACGGAAGCGUGGGUAGCAAACAG